This 327-nucleotide ribosomal RNA is filed under the name uncultured eukaryote. Its description in RNAcentral is "partial 18S ribosomal RNA". It matches the Rfam family "Eukaryotic small subunit ribosomal RNA", at positions 1470 to 1796 of the family's 1831-position model. The record is from RNAcentral.
CCCUUAGAUGUUCUGGGCCGCACGCGCGCUACACUGACGAAUGCAACGAGCUUAUAACCUUGGCCGAAAGGUCUGGGUAAUCUCCAAAUUUCGUCGUGAUGGGGAUAGAUUAUUGCAAUUAUUAAUCUUCAACGAGGAAUGCCUAGUAAGCGCAAGUCAUCAGCUUGCGUUGAUUACGCCCCUGCCCUUUGUACACACCGCCCGUCGCUCCUACCGAUUGAAUGGUCCGGUGAAGCGUUCGGACCGUGGCCUUUGGACGGUUCGCCGUCUGUUGGCUGCGGGAAGUUCGUUAAACCUUAUCAUUUAGAGGAAGGAGAANUCGUANCA